Molecule: ribosomal RNA, 458 nt
Filed under: uncultured bacterium
Lineage: Bacteria
Description: partial 16S ribosomal RNA
Rfam family: Bacterial small subunit ribosomal RNA
Source: RNAcentral
CCUACGGGUGGCAGCAGUGGGGAAUAUUGCACAAUGGGGGAAACCCUGAUGCAGCGACGCCGCGUGAGUGAAGAAGUAAUUCGUUACGUAAAGCUCUAUCAGCAGGGAUGCAACACCGACCUUACGGUCAGCAGACGGUACCUGUGUAAGAAGCCCCGGCUAACUACGUGCCAGCAGCCGCGGGAAUAAGUAGGGGGCAAGCUGUAUCCGGAUUUACGGGGUGUAAAGGGGGCGGAGACGGUGCGCCAAGCCUGGAGUGAAACGCCGCGGCUUAACUGCGGAACUGCUUUGGAAACUGGCGGACUAGAGUGCGGGAGAGGGAAGCGGAAUGCCUAGUGUAGCGGGGAAAUGCGUAGAUAUUAGGAGGAACGCCGGUGGCGAAGGCGGCUUACUGGACCGUAACUGACGUUGAGGCUCGAAAGCGUGGGGAGCAAACAGGAUUAGAUACCCGGGUAGUC